This 65-nucleotide transfer RNA is filed under the name Galbula albirostris. Its description in RNAcentral is "tRNA-Thr". The record is from RNAcentral. Lineage: Eukaryota; Metazoa; Chordata; Aves; Piciformes; Galbulidae.
AUCACUCUAAUAGUUUAUCAAAAACAUUGGUCUUGUAAACCAAAGAAUGAAGACCUCACCUCUUC